RNAcentral lists this ribosomal RNA (440 nucleotides) under uncultured bacterium. RNAcentral describes it as "partial 16S ribosomal RNA". It matches the Rfam family "Bacterial small subunit ribosomal RNA", at positions 338 to 795 of the family's 1533-position model. The record is from RNAcentral.
CCUACGGGGGGCUGCAGUAGGGAAUAUUGCUCAAUGGGGGAAACCCUGAAGCAGCAACGCCGCGUGGAGGAUGAAGGUUUUCGGAUUGUAAAAUCCUUUUGUUAGAGAAGAUAAUGACGGUAUCUAACGAAUAAGCACCGGCUAACUCCGUGCCAGCAGCCGCGGUAAUACGGAGGGUGCAAGCGUUACUCGGAACCACUGGGCGUAAAGGGCGCGUAGGCGGGAUAGCAAGUCAGAUGUGAAAUCCUAUGGCUUAACCAUAGAACUGCAUUUGAAACUGUUAUUCUAGAGUAUGGGAGAGGUAGGUGGAAUGCUUGGUGUAGGGGUAAAAUCCGUAGAGAUCAAGAGGAAUACUCAUUGCGAAGGCGACCUGCUAGAACAUAACUGACGCUGAUGCGCGAAAGCGUGGGGAGCAAACAGGAUUAGAUACCCGAGUAGUC